Molecule: transfer RNA, 73 nt
Filed under: Stegodyphus mimosarum
Lineage: Eukaryota; Metazoa; Arthropoda; Arachnida; Araneae; Eresidae
Rfam family: tRNA
About the family: Transfer RNA (tRNA) molecules are approximately 80 nucleotides in length.
Source: Rfam by way of RNAcentral
ACCUUCGUAGUGUAGUGGACAGCACGCUCGAAGCCUAACCGAGAGGUCCGUGGUUCGAUUCCCGGCGAAAGCG